GACGAACGCUGGCGGCGUGCCUAAUACAUGCAAGUAGAACGCAGUUGCGAACGGGUGAGUAACGCGUAGGUAACUGCCUCAUAGCGGGGGAUAACUAUUGGAAACGAUAGCUAAUACCGCAUACUGUGAGAUGGAACUGCGUUGUAUUAGCUAGUUGGUGGGGUAAAGGCUCAACAAGGCGAGGAUACAUAGCCGCACUGAGAGGGGGAGCGGCCACACUGGGACUGGGACACGGCCCAGACUCCUACGGGAGGCAGCAGGAGGGGAUCUUCGGCAAUGGGCGGCAGUCUGACCGAGCAACGCCGCGUGAGUGAAGAAGGUUUUCGGGUCGUAAAGCUCUGUUGUGAGAGGAGCGGUAACUAACCAGAAAGGGACGGCUAACUACGUGCCAGCCGCCGCGGUAAUUC
Molecule: ribosomal RNA, 407 nt
Filed under: uncultured bacterium
Lineage: Bacteria
Description: partial 16S ribosomal RNA
Rfam family: Bacterial small subunit ribosomal RNA
Source: RNAcentral